This 1368-nucleotide ribosomal RNA is filed under the name Microbacterium sp. KW016. Its description in RNAcentral is "16S ribosomal RNA". It matches the Rfam family "Bacterial small subunit ribosomal RNA". The record is from RNAcentral. Lineage: Bacteria; Bacillati; Actinomycetota; Actinomycetes; Micrococcales; Microbacteriaceae.
UCGAACGGUGAAGCCCAGCUUGCUGGGUGGAUCAGUGGCGAACGGGUGAGUAACACGUGAGCAAUCUGCCCCUGACUCUGGGAUAAGCGCUGGAAACGGCGUCUAAUACUGGAUACGAGUAGUGAUCGCAUGGUCGACUACUGGAAAGAAUUUCGGUCAGGGAUGAGCUCGCGGCCUAUCAGCUUGUUGGUGAGGUAAUGGCUCACCAAGGCGUCGACGGGUAGCCGGCCUGAGAGGGUGACCGGCCACACUGGGACUGAGACACGGCCCAGACUCCUACGGGAGGCAGCAGUGGGGAAUAUUGCACAAUGGGCGGAAGCCUGAUGCAGCAACGCCGCGUGAGGGAUGACGGCCUUCGGGUUGUAAACCUCUUUUAGCAGGGAAGAAGCGAAAGUGACGGUACCUGCAGAAAAAGCGCCGGCUAACUACGUGCCAGCAGCCGCGGUAAUACGUAGGGCGCAAGCGUUAUCCGGAAUUAUUGGGCGUAAAGAGCUCGUAGGCGGUUUGUCGCGUCUGCUGUGAAAUCCCGAGGCUCAACCUCGGGCCUGCAGUGGGUACGGGCAGACUAGAGUGCGGUAGGGGAGAUUGGAAUUCCUGGUGUAGCGGUGGAAUGCGCAGAUAUCAGGAGGAACACCGAUGGCGAAGGCAGAUCUCUGGGCCGUAACUGACGCUGAGGAGCGAAAGGGUGGGGAGCAAACAGGCUUAGAUACCCUGGUAGUCCACCCCGUAAACGUUGGGAACUAGUUGUGGGGUCCAUUCCACGGAUUCCGUGACGCAGCUAACGCAUUAAGUUCCCCGCCUGGGGAGUACGGCCGCAAGGCUAAAACUCAAAGGAAUUGACGGGGACCCGCACAAGCGGCGGAGCAUGCGGAUUAAUUCGAUGCAACGCGAAGAACCUUACCAAGGCUUGACAUAUUCGAGAACGGGCCAGAAAUGGUCAACUCUUUGGACACUCGUAUACAGGUGGUGCAUGGUUGUCGUCAGCUCGUGUCGUGAGAUGUUGGGUUAAGUCCCGCAACGAGCGCAACCCUCGUUCUAUGUUGCCAGCACGUAAUGGUGGGAACUCAUGGGAUACUGCCGGGGUCAACUCGGAGGAAGGUGGGGAUGACGUCAAAUCAUCAUGCCCCUUAUGUCUUGGGCUUCACGCAUGCUACAAUGGCCGGUACAAAGGGCUGCAAUACCGCGAGGUGGAGCGAAUCCCAAAAAGCCGGUCCCAGUUCGGAUUGAGGUCUGCAACUCGACCUCAUGAAGUCGGAGUCGCUAGUAAUCGCAGAUCAGCAACGCUGCGGUGAAUACGUUCCCGGGUCUUGUACACACCGCCCGUCAAGUCAUGAAAGUCGGUAACACCUGAAGCCGGUGGCCCAACCC